This is a non-coding RNA of Bos taurus (domestic cattle), 72 nucleotides long. Lineage: Eukaryota; Metazoa; Chordata; Mammalia; Artiodactyla; Bovidae. The record is from Rfam.
GCUCUCAUAGCUUAGUCAAUAAAGAAUCUGCCUGCAAUGCAGGAGGCCCGGGUUCAAUUCCUAGUUGGGGAA